Molecule: long non-coding RNA, 332 nt
Organism: Cervus elaphus (red deer)
Lineage: Eukaryota; Metazoa; Chordata; Mammalia; Artiodactyla; Cervidae
Exons: 3
Source: RefSeq, a predicted model, not a curated record
AGAGUGUGGGCUGUGAUAGAAAACAUCUCACAGAGAUGAGACCCAACAGUGUAUCUCUCUCCACCUGUGUCCCUAAAAUGUCCUACACAACAACAUCCAGUGUCCUCCCAGCUGGCUUCGCUGUGGUUGAGAGAAAGAGGUCCCAGUUCCAAAGUGAGAGAAUCUAGAACAAGGUCGCAGAGCAUGGCAGAUGCAAAAUAUCCCAUCGAAGAGCCCCACGUGCCCUGGGGCCUGCGGCUCUGCUCUGGGAGUGCUCUGCCCCCUUCGGUGGCAGACACUGUAACCCUCCAAGACUAGAGAAGAGGCUGAGCUCAUUUACUGGGUGUUCCGGA